This 253-nucleotide ribosomal RNA is filed under the name uncultured bacterium. RNAcentral's name for it is "partial 16S ribosomal RNA". It matches the Rfam family "Bacterial small subunit ribosomal RNA", at positions 524 to 776 of the family's 1533-position model. The record is from RNAcentral.
UACGUAGGGUGCGAGCGUUAAUCGGAAUUACUGGGCGUAAAGCGUGCGCAGGCGGUUUUGUAAGACAGGCGUGAAAUCCCCGGGCUCAACCUGGGAAUGGCGCUUGUGACUGCAAAGCUGGAGUGCGGCAGAGGGGGAUGGAAUUCCGCGUGUAGCAGUGAAAUACGUAGAUAUGCGGAGGAACACCGAUGACGAAGGCAAUCCCCUGGGCCUGCACUGACGCUCAUGCACGAAAGCGUGGGGAGCAAACAGG